UACGGGGGGGGCGAGCGUUGUUCGGAAUUACUGGGCGUAAAGGGUUCGUAGGUGGCCUGCUAAGUCAGACGUGAAAUCCCUCAGCUUAACUGGGGAACUGCGUCUGAAACUGGCGGGCUUGAGUGCAGGAGAGGAACGCGGAAUUCCAAGUGUAGCGGUGAAAUGCGUAGAUAUCUGGAGGAACACCGGUGGCGAAGGCGGCGUUCUGGACUGCUACUGACACUGAGGAACGAAAGCCAGGGGAGCAAACGGG
Molecule: ribosomal RNA, 253 nt
Filed under: uncultured bacterium
Lineage: Bacteria
Description: partial 16S ribosomal RNA
Rfam family: Bacterial small subunit ribosomal RNA
Source: RNAcentral